GUUCUUCUCAGCUUGGAAAGAUAUUCUUUGGACAGCUUUUUUCACGGUCACGUACACUGUGGCUUCAUAUGUUGGCCCAUAUCUCAUUGACACUUUUGUUCAGUACCUGAAUGGGCAGCGGGAGUUUAAAAAUGAGGGGUAUCUUCUGGUUAUUGCUUUCUUUGUUGCAAAGCUAGUAGAGUGCUUAACGCAGAGGCUCUGGUUUUUCAAGUUGCAGCAAGUAGGAAUUAGGCUGAGAGCAGUACUGGUAGCAAUGAUUUAUAACAAGGGUUUAACCCUUUCGUGCCAUUCAAAGCAGAGCCACACCAGUGGGGAGAUCAUCAAUUUCAUGACUGUCGAUGCGGAGAGGGUGGGUGAGUUUAGUUGGUACAUGCAUGAUCCAUGGAUGGUAGCUUUGCAAGUUGCUUUGGCCUUGGUGAUCUUGUAUAAAAACCUUGGAUUAGCAUCCAUUGCAGCUUUUGUUGCAACAGUGUUUGUUAUGUUGGCAAAUAUUCCUCUGGGAAAAAUGCUAGAGAAGUUUCAGGACAAGUUGAUGGAAUCUAAAGAUAAAAGGAUGAAGGCAACAUCAGAAAUUUUAAGAAAUAUGAGAAUUCUCAAACUUCAAGGGUGGGAAAUGAAGUUUUUGUCAAAAAUUAUUGAACUCAGGAAUGUUGAGGAAGGAUGGUUAAAAAGAUUUGUUUAUACAAAUGCAAUGACUAGUUUUCUUUUCUGGGUUGCACCAUCGUUUGUGUCAGUAGCCACUUUUGGUGCUUGUAUUUUUUUAGGAGUUCCACUUGAGUCAGGGAAGAUCCUAUCUGCACUAGCAACAUUCAGGGUUCUUCAAGAGCCAAUCUACAAUCUUCCUGACACAAUUUCAAUGAUAGCUCAGACAAAGGUGUCUCUUGAUAGAAUUGCUUCCUUCCUCCGCCUUGAUGACUUGCAGCCUGAUGUUAUAGAGAAGCUUCCAAGAGGUAGUUCUGAUACUGCAAUUGAGAUCAUUGAUGGGAAUUUCGCUUGGGAUUUCUCUUCUUCUACUGCAACGUUAGAAGAUAUAAAUUUGAAAGUUUGCCAUGGUAUGAGGGUCGCUGUUUGUGGUACAGUUGGUUCUGGUAAGUCGAGUUUGCUUUCCUGUAUUUUAGGGGAAUUACCCAAGAUAUCUGGAACUCUUAAAUUGUGUGGUACAAAGGCCUAUGUUGCUCAGUCGCCUUGGAUACAAAGUGGCAAGAUUGAAGAAAACAUAUUGUUUGGCAAGGAGAUGGAUAGGGAGAGGUAUGACAGAGUGCUUGAAGCUUGUACCCUCAAGAAAGAUCUUGAAAUCCUCUCAUUUGGUGAUCAGACCGUUAUAGGUGAGAGGGGAAUCAAUUUGAGCGGUGGGCAGAAGCAAAGAGUACAGAUUGCACGUGCUUUAUAUCAAGAUGCUGAUAUCUAUCUCUUUGAUGAUCCAUUCAGCGCUGUGGAUGCUCACACAGGAUCUCAUUUAUUUAAGGUAACAUCUUUUCUUCUCUCAUACUAUUGCAUGUAGUUUAAAAGUUACUUUUAAUCUAUGCAGAAAGCUAUGCUGCUCUAUGUACAGUAAUUAAUUGAACUACUAACAUUUGCAAUUUUGUCAGCUGCUUAUUUGAGCUUUCUUCUUCAGUUGGUGCUUUGCCUGAGUAAUUGUUUAAUCUUUGAAUGAUAGGAAGUUUUACUAGGCAGUUUGAGUUCAAAAACAGUGAUUUAUGUCACUCAUCAAGUUGAGUUUUUACCAGCUGCUGAUCUGAUCUUGGUAAGCUAUUUACGUUUUCAGUGAUUUUCCUCCUAUGCCUUGGAGGGUAGGCAAUAAUAUAAUUUCUGGGUUAAAAUUUUGCAUUUUUGUUAGGUCAUGAAAGAUGGCAGGAUUACACAAGCUGGAAAGUUUAACGACAUUCUCAAUUCAGGAACUGAUUUUAUGGAACUUGUGGGUGCACAUAAGAAAGCUUUGUCAGCCCUUGAUACUGUUGAUGCAGGAUCUGUUUCUGAAAAAAAUAUCAGUGAAGGAGAUGGUACCAUGGGAUGUGCUAAUGGGGAAGUGCAGAAAGAAGAAAACCAAAAUAAUGAGAGUGGUAAAGUAGAUGAUGUAGGGCCAAAAGGUCAGCUUGUUCAAGAAGAAGAGCGAGAAAAAGGAAAAGUUGGGUUUUCAGUCUACUGGAAGUAUAUCACAACAGCAUAUGGAGGAGCUCUUGUGCCUUUAAUAUUGCUGGCGCAGAUUCUCUUUCAGCUUUUUCAAAUUGGUAGCAAUUAUUGGAUGGCUUGGGCAUCUCCUGUGUCUGCAGAUGUCAAACCUCCUGUUCGGAGCUUUACACUAAUAAUUGUCUAUUUAGCUUUGGCCGUUGCUAGUGCCUUUUCUGUCCUUGCCAGAGCCAUGCUUCUUAAUACAGCUGGAUACAAAACAGCCACUCUUUUCUUCAAAAAGAUGCAUUCAUGCAUUUUCCGUGCUCCUAUGUCAUUCUUUGAUUCCACACCAAGCGGAAGAAUCCUAAACAGAGUUAGUAUCUAAUGUUUUCUUGUGUGAAUGUCAAACAUUCCAUUUAUCUUAUUUUUUUGGCAUUCCUCCCUUGUUUCUGAAGGAUUCUAUUAUUUUCCUGCCUCUUUUAGGCUUCUACAGAUCAAAGUGCAGUGGAUAUGAGCAUUCCGUAUCAAGUUGGUGCAUUCGCCUUUUCAGUUAUCCAGCUCCUUGGUAUCAUUGCAGUCAUGUCUCAAGUUGCUUGGCAGAUCUUUAUCAUUUUUAUCCCUGUGGUUGCUACCUGUAUUUGGUACCAGGUAAUUCUUGUCCCCUCAUAUAAUAUGUUGUCUGUCAAUUUGUGGUUAUAGAAUGUAUGACCUCAUAGACUUGCAAUAUAUAUUGUAAAUCUCAAAGUCGUUCGAGAAAACAUAAAACCUUGCAUAAUACUUGGACAUAGGAAUUCUCAUAAACUUGUAAUUUUUCAGCAAUAUUACAUAUCUUCUGCACGAGAACUUGCACGAUUGGUUGGAGUAUGCAAAGCUCCAGUGAUACAGCAUUUUGCUGAAACAAUUUUAGGAGCAACAACUAUCAGGAGCUUUGAUCAAGAAUCAAGAUUCCAAGAGGCAAACAUGAUACUAAUGGAUGCAUUUUCUCGUCCAAAAUUUCAUGUUGCUGGUGCAAUGGAAUGGCUGUGCUUCCGCCUGGACAUGUUGUCUUCCAUUACUUUUGCCUUCUCUUUGUUCUUUUUGAUUUCUAUACCAGAGGGAAUUAUUGAUCCUGGUAAGUGAUUGUAGAUUGGAAUCUUUAUUGACUACCAUGUCAUUGUAGAUAACAGAUGUUAAAGGAGAAUGACUGAAAGUGUUUUCGUGUUUUCUUUUGCUUAGCCAUUGCGGGUUUAGCUGUGACGUAUGGACUCAAUCUAAAUAUAUUGCAAGCUUGGGUAGUAUGGAAUAUUUGCAAUAUGGAGAAUAAAAUUAUAUCUGUUGAGAGACUGCUUCAGUACAGUAGUAUUCCUAGUGAGCCUGCCCUUGUGAUAGAAACUAACCGUCCGGACCGUUCUUGGCCAUCUCAUGGAGAAGUUAAUAUUCAUGAUCUGCAGGUAAUGCAGUUAUGCAGUGUUUAUGACUCUAAGUUGUUAUGUGUUGUUUUUGAAAUAAAUGAUGAUGUUCGAUGUAGGUGCGGUAUGCUCCACACAUGCCACUCGUCUUGCGAGGUAUGACAUGCACAUUACCAGGAGGGUUGAAAACUGGCAUUGUAGGGAGAACAGGGAGUGGUAAAACAACUCUCAUACAAACACUUUUCCGCAUAGUUGAACCUGCAGCAGGUCAGAUUAUAAUUGAUGGCGUUAAUAUCUCAUCAAUUGGACUGCAUGAUUUGCGGUCAAGACUCAGCAUCAUCCCUCAGGAUCCUACCAUGUUUGAAGGGACUAUACGGAGUAAUUUGGAUCCUCUUGAAGAGCACUCAGACGAACAGAUUUGGGAGGUGGGUUCAUUUCAUUUUGAUUACGAGAGAAAAGCUUUUCUGGUCUGUACCAUUUAUUUUCGAAUAAAAUGCUGUGUUUAUGAUUGGUAUUUGAAGUGUGAUAUGUAUUGAUGUAUGUUUUGAUUUUUUAAGGCAGUGGAUAAGUGCCAACUUGGGGAUGGAGUUAGAAAGAAGGAAGGCGGGCUAGAUUCUUCAGGUCUGAUCUUCUAUCAUAUAACAUACAAGUCGGAUGUCAUGCAAGUUGUUUAAAAUCUACUACUAAAUUCAACUGUUUAAAGAAAUGUUGAAGUAUUAUAACAUUGCUUCCGCAGUUACCGAGAAUGGAGAGAAUUGGAGCAUGGGACAGAGGCAGCUGGUCUGUCUCGGGCGUGUGCUGCUCAAGAAAAGUAAGAUCCUAGUGCUUGAUGAAGCUACGGCAUCAGUUGAUACAGCUACCGAUAAUCUGAUUCAGACAACCUUAAGGGAGCACUUUUCUGACUGUACAGUCAUAACAAUUGCACACCGGAUCACUUCUGUUCUUGACAGUGAUCUGGUUCUGCUUCUAAGCCACGGUUAGCACGGUUGUGUUAUCUAUCAUUUGCUUGUAGGAUCCUUUGAACUUCAUUUCGUUUAAAACUAUGUUUAACUGUCGCAGGACUUGUCGAAGAAUACGAUUCUCCCGCUAGAUUGCUGGAAAACAAGUCUUCAGCUUUCGCACAGCUUGUAGCCGAGUAUACUGUGAGAUCAAAUUCAAGCCUGGAGAAGUUCGACUGAAUUAGAUGAUCACGAAAAAUAUAUGUUUGGUACUCAUUGGGAAUGUUUUGUACAAGACAAGCCUAGUAGUGUUCUUGGCUUCAAUAAACACUAGUUGUAUAUUUUCCUUUUCUCUCUUCUAUCAGUCUGCCAUUAUUAAGUUACAAAGAAUUUUUAAGACAUAUGUUCGGGCAAUUAGACGUUAACAAAAUUAAUGUAAAAAAAUUGUCAAAAACACGUGCGAAGAAAAAAAGUUUAUUAAUAUAAAGUCAACAAUUGGGUGGUGGGCCUUCACACGUCCAUUAAUGGGGCCCAUUUCAAAAAGAGAGUGUCCAGAUGAGUAUCCCCCAAGUUUUCGUUGUGAGCAAUGAGCAUACAAGUCGAAGCAAAACUGUGGGGUUUCAGUACGGCGCCGUUUUAAUUGUCUCUUUCCGGUUUUUGGGCAGACGGGCUGGAUUUGAGUCUUCGGUUUGGUUCACCGCCAGGUGUCAAUACAAUGACGGUUGGAAAUUCCAACGGUUUUUUGUUAGAGUUUCCCGGGUUUUUUUUUGUUCCUACUAAUUUACUAUUUUGUGGUUUGAGAAAUAUUUUAAAAUUGUUUUAAAUUUAUUUAUAAUAAAUAAAAAAGACCUUUGAUACCCACAAUUAUUAUUGUUUUGAGUUAUUUUCAAAUUAACCAACGAAAAUAAUUUUUGCUAAAAAGGGUCAUUAAUAUUUUUUAAUGAGUAAAAAGGGUCAUUAGGUUUAAAAUAAUAAUAAAAGAAUAUUUUUUUAUUUAUUUCUAAAAAUUAUUAAAAUAAUUAAAACUUAGCAACUUUUAACAGGUUCAUAGGAUCAGAUUAUGAUAAUCUUCAUGGAUAAAUGAAAGAAAAAUUAAUUCUUGAAUUAAAAAACAAAGGUUUGUUUUUUUCUUUGUUGAUAAUGCAAAAGUUCUGGUAAAAAUUUCAUUGCAAAAGAGGAGUUUUUUUGGGUUAAUUUCUAUUUCCCUCACUACAGAAUCACUCUCACUCUCUAUAUCUCUUCAGCUGUGUGUCUCUUAUGUUUUGUCUCUCUCUCUCUUUCAAAGAUCAAAACUUUCUCGGAAAGCCUCCAAGUUUUUUGUUUUUGGUCUCUCUUUUGAGGCUUAAGCCUCCCUUCCCUUUGCUCUCAUGCCGUCUCUCAAGUCUUGGUCUCCACGCAUAUCCCUUCCCCAAGUAAUCUUCCUUUGACUCUCUUCUUUUGUGUCCCUGUCUUGACUGUAACACUCCUUUAAGUCUCGUUUAUAUAUAAACUCAAAAACAAGCAAAAGUAUCUUCCAACAACACUGUAGUCCAAAAUUUUUCUUGAGUAAAAAGUCCAUAAAGAAUGAAACUUUUUGCUUCAGAAUCAUCUUUGCUAAUGAGUUCAGCUUCUAGUUUUCAUUUUCUCCUAAAACCCAUGUUUCUUCAUGGGCUUUCUGCUUCAUUGCACCUACUUUUAUUGCUUUUCUUGCUAGUCUUAUGGUUUGUGGACAGAGUUAAAGAAGCUGGCAGGGAAGGAUCGAAGGAAAGGAUAAGGCAAAGGAAGGUUUUAUGGUAUAAGCAAACUUUAGCUUGUUGUUUUAUUGUUUCAGCUUUCAACACUGUCUUGUGUUUGUUAAGUUAUUUUUAUUGGUAUAGAAAUGGUUGGUCUGAGGAUAAGUUAGUGACUCUUUCUGAUUAUGUGGUAAAAACACUUGCUUGGGGUGCAACGUGUGUUUAUUUGCAUUAUCAGUUCUCCCAUUCUGGUGAACAAAAGAAGUUCCCAUUUUUAUUGAGAAUUUGGUGGGGUUUUUAUUUUUCCAUUUCUUGUUAUUGUCUUGUUAUAGACGUUGUUCGUUACAAAGAACAUGUUUCUUUCCCAAGUCAGUAUUUAGUAUCCGAUGUUUUUUCUGUUAUUACUGGUUUGUUCCUAUGUAUUGUGGGGUUUUUUGGAGGAACUGAAGGUGAAGAUACCCUCCUUGAGGAGCCCCUUUUGAAUGGAGAUUCUAGUGUAGGUAAUGGUGUAGAGUUGAGUAAGAAAAAAAGAGGUGAUACUGUAACCCCAUAUUCAAAUGCUGGUAUUUUCAGCAUUCUUACAUUUUCUUGGAUGGGGCCUCUUAUUGCUGCUGGCAGUAAAAAACCUUUAGACCUUGAGGAUGUUCCUCAGCUAGAUAGCAGUGAUAGUGUUGUUGGCGCUUUUCCAAAUUUUAGAAACAGGCUCGAGUCAGCUGACAGUGAGGGGAGUGGAGUUACCGCGUUUAAGCUGGUGAAGGCACUGUUCUUCUCAGCUUGGAAAGAUAUUCUUUGGACAGCUUUGUUAGCGUUUAUGUACACUGUGGCUUCAUAUGUUGGCCCAUAUCUCAUUGACACUUUUGUUCAGUACCUGAAUGGGCAGCGGGAGUUUAAAAAUGAGGGGUAUCUUCUGGUUAUGGCUUUCUUUGUUGCAAAGCUAGUAGAGUGCUUAUCUCAGAGGCGCUGGUAUUUUAAGUUGCAGCAAGUAGGAAUUAGGCUGAG
Molecule: long non-coding RNA, 7146 nt
Filed under: Theobroma cacao (cacao)
Lineage: Eukaryota; Viridiplantae; Streptophyta; Magnoliopsida; Malvales; Malvaceae
Description: long non-coding RNA (TCAC_LNC004147)
Source: RNAcentral